This 1295-nucleotide ribosomal RNA is filed under the name marine metagenome. Its description in RNAcentral is "bacterial SSU rRNA". It matches the Rfam family "Bacterial small subunit ribosomal RNA", at positions 231 to 1520 of the family's 1533-position model. The record is from RNAcentral.
CUGCGUAAGAUUAGCUUGUUGGUGAGGUAAAGGCUCACCAAGGCGACGAUCUUUAGCGGGUCUGAGAGGACGAUCCGCCACAUUGGGACUGAGACACGGCCCAGACUCCUACGGGAGGCAGCAGUGGGGAAUAUUGGACAAUGGGCGCAAGCCUGAUCCAGCCAUACCGCGUGUGUGAAGAAGGCCCUAGGGUUGUAAAGCACUUUAAGUUGGGAAGAAAAGUUAUUGGUUAAUACCCAAUAACCGUGACAUUACCAUCAGAAUAAGGACCGGCUAAUUCCGUGCCAGCAGCCGCGGUAAUACGGAAGGUCCAAGCGUUAAUCGGAAUUACUGGGCGUAAAGCGCGCGUAGGUGGUUUAUUAAGUUGGAUGUGAAAUCCCCGGGCUCAACCUGGGAACUGCAUCCAAAACUGAUUCACUAGAGUACGAUAGAGGGAGGUAGAAUUCACAGUGUAGCGGUGGAAUGCGUAGAUAUUGUGAAGAAUACCAAUGGCGAAGGCAGCCUCCUGGAUCUGUACUGACACUGAGGUGCGAAAGCGUGGGUAGCGAACAGGAUUAGAUACCCUGGUAGUCCACGCCGUAAACGAUGUCAACUAGCUGUUGGAAAACUAUGUUUUUCAGUGGCGCAGCUAACGUAGUAAGUUGACCGCCUGGGGAGUACGGCCGCAAGGCUAAAACUCAAAUGAAUUGACGGGGACCCGCACAAGCGGUGGAGCAUGUGGUUUAAUUCGAUGCAACGCGAAAAACCUUACCUAUACUUGACAUACUUGGAAUGCUUUGUAAUGAAGCAGUGCCUUCGGGAGCCAAGAUACAGGUGCUGCAUGGCUGUCGUCAGCUCGUGUCGUGAGAUGUUCCGUUAAGUCGGAUAACGAGCGCAACCCUUACCCUUAUUUGCCAGCGAUUCGGUCGGGAACUAUAAGGGGACUGCCGGUGAUAAACCGGAGGAAGGUGAGGACGACGUCAAGUCAUCAUGGCCCUUACGUAUAGGGCUACACACGUGCUACAAUGGAGAAUACAGACGGACGCUAAGCCGCGAGGUGGUGCUAAUCCUAGAAAAUUCUUCGUAGUCCGGAUUGGAGUCUGCAACUCGACUCCAUGAAGUCGGAAUCGCUAGUAAUCGCGAAUCAGCAUGUCGCGGUGAAUACGUUCUCGGGUCUUGUACACACCGCCCGUCAUACCAUGGAAGUGGAUUGCACCAGAAGUAGAUAGUCUAACCUUCGGGAGGGCGUUUACCACGGUGUGCUUCAUGACUGGGGUAAAGUCGUAACAAGGUAGCCGUAGGGGAACCUGUGGCUG